CGCCUCACUCGUCCCAAAAACCCAUCAAUUGUCUCAGGAACCUACAUCUCGGUGGGGCGCCAGUUUGUGCAAUUUAUCACAUUUUUAUAGGAUAAAAUUAGGGAGAUAUAGGUCAACAUCGAG
This is a non-coding RNA of Caenorhabditis elegans, 123 nucleotides long. The record is from Ensembl. NCBI's taxonomy places the organism in Eukaryota, Metazoa, Nematoda, Chromadorea, Rhabditida, Rhabditidae.